Molecule: long non-coding RNA, 5908 nt
Filed under: Sus scrofa (pig)
Lineage: Eukaryota; Metazoa; Chordata; Mammalia; Artiodactyla; Suidae
Description: lncRNA (ENSSSCG00065047315.1)
Source: RNAcentral
AUAUGGAAGUUCCCAGGCUAGGGGUCGAAUCAGAGGUAUAUCUGCCAGCCUACACCACAGCCACAGCAACGCCAGAUCUGAGUCACAUCUGAGACCUACACCACAGCUCAUGCAACACUGGAUCCUUAACCCGCUAGUGAGGCCAGGGAUCAAACCUAAUGGAUUAAAUGUUAUUUAAAAAUGUAACAUUGUUAAUAGUUAUACAGUUUAGAAGGGAUAUUUCAUACCUAGUUAUAUCAUUUAAUCCACACAAUAAUCCUAUACAAUUUGUUUACAAUUUUCAUUCUGAUUUAACAGAUGAGGAAACUUUACGUGUAUUAAAGCGAUUUGUUCGAAUUUAUGGAGCUGGCAAGUUAUGCUGCUUAAACUUAACCAGAAAUGUUUUUCCACUUAGUCACUGCUCUUCAUCAUGUUUACACCAAUGGAAUAGUAAUAAAUAAAAAUAAUACAAUUCUGCUUUUUGCGAUCACUGUUUUCAUGAGUUCAUACUGAAAACACAACCAUUUUGGAAUCGGACAGAUGGAUAUUUAAAUCUGAACUUGGUCAUCACUAGUUUUGUGACACUGGGCAUGUUACUUAUCUCACUGGUAAAAUGUGGGUAAUAAUUUAAUACCAUCGUAAAGACUACUCAAAACAAAGUUUGUACAAAAUUAAAGACGGUGCCUGUCACAUGGAUAAUCCUCAAUGAAUGGGGGGCUUAUCUGGAGAGAGCUUGGUAAAAACCGGUAUUUUUAUAACUAUGCUUGGACUAUUCAAAAUAUUCUAGGGCAUUCCCAUCACGGCUCAGUGGAAAAGAGUCUGACUAGUAUCCAUGAGGAUGUGGGCUUGAUCCCUGGCCUUGCUCAGUGGAUUAAAAAAAUUCUAGUUGUGGAUUAAAUAGAAUAAUAUACUAUAUAUAUAUUUAUUUAUGAAGAGUUUAGUAUGAUCUGAUACAUGGUAAUACUUAAAAAAAAGUUAAUUAUUCUUUUUCUGUUGUUGUUGUCUUUUAGGGCCGCACCCACAGCCUAUGGAGGUUUCCAGGCUAAGGUCCAAUAGGAACUGUAGCCACCGGCCUACCUCAGAGCCAUAGCAACUCAGGAUCUGAGCCGCAUCUGCGACCUACACCACGCCUCUCUGCAAUGCUGGAUCCUUACCCUACUGAGUGAGGCCAGGGAUCAAACCCACAUCCUCAUGGAUGCUAGUCGGUUUUAUUAACCACUGUGCCACAACGGGAAUUCCAAGUUAAUUAUUCUUAUUGCUAAUUUGAAAACAACAGCUGAGUUUUCUUGUUCCUUUACCUCAUUCUUUUAUUGUCCUCUCCUAGUAGAGGCUGACUUUUAAACACUGUAAAAUGCAUACCUCUUCAGUUUGAGAAAAUGUCAGAAUGAGUAAGAAAAGGUUUGUUCGUCCUGUCGAUAUUCCUUCACUAAUAAGAGGGGUUUAACAAUUGAUUCACUAUAAGGACCUACUACUCAUCUCUCUAAGCACCAAAUCAGGUAGAAAACAUUGAGAACUUGGGCUGGUGGGAUUGGGUGAAAUAUUGAGGAAGAAAAGAAACUAGAGCAGAAAGGUAUGCUUCAAAAUUCAUUUGGCCUCAUGAGCCAAAAGAUGACUCAGUAGGAAAAUCAGCAAUAUUUGUACCAUCCUUUUGACUUAGUGUGUGGUUCUGAUUAACUUUUCCUUCUUCUUGAUAAUACUUCACCUACACAACUUUUAAAAUUUCCAGUUGUAGGUCCUAUCAGCCAGAUUACAUUAUUUCAUCAUCACUUUGAUAAUUAUUAUUAUAAAUCAGUAAUGACUAUGAAUAAAGUAUUCAGUCCCUGCAAUCCUUUUAUUAAAUAUUUCCUUCCAAAUUCUGCACACAGAAUGUAACUUUAAACAAAGACUCUCAUGAAGCGGGAGAUGAAAUAGAAGAUAACCACCAUUAGUACAAAAUAGAGUUCUGUGAAUUUCACUAAAAAUUGCAAAUUCAUUUUCUGCUUCCUUGGGAUUUGUUUCCUCAAUGGUUUAAUAUCCUUUACCUUCUAAAAGAUGUGUUCAAGGACAGGUCUCUUGAUCAGAGGCUCCAUCUCAAUAGGGAGAUUCUAAGGACUGACUAGGAAGAUUUUCCUAAGAAUGACAACCUCCUGUUACAUGGCAAUAAAGUGCUUUAAUUACUUUUCUCAAAGCUCUCCUCAGUUUUCACGAACCCGCGAGAAUGAAAUAAGGCUCCUUGGGACUCAACAUAAAGGCCGAGCGUGAGAAUCACUUGCAUUACUCCUCCAGGCCUGGGUGUGUGUGGAGGCGCAGGCCGUGCUGAUCUCUAGAGCAGGUAAGGUCAGAGCUGUGCAUCCAAGCUUCCGGAAAGAUGACAGUCGAGGCUCAGAAAAGAGAAAAGCAGAUGGCCAUUCUGCUGGCAUUCUGGAUCUGAUUCCAGGAGGAGGGAUGGCUGUUUGGGCAGUUCAGAAUUUAAUGCCAAUCUUCCUUCAAAAAUCUUGGGGAUCUUGCCUGGUUCCUGCCUCUAACUUUCGUAACUGAUGAAAAUUCAGUGAGCUGAACUUGAGGAGUUCAAGGGAUCCUCAAGCAGGAUUGCAUUAUCUCAAUCUCUGUCCCCUCUCAGUUUCCCCAUCAAUGCAAGGUGGCAAAACCUACUGAUUCAAAACUGUUGUGAAACAGAUGAGGCAGUAAUAUGAGUGUGAAAAGUAAUUUAGAAGCCAAAUCAGUGAGGCUCUUGUGUUUUUUCCUCUCUGCCUGGCUCUACAGACGAGGAGAACCUGCUUAGCAACCUCUCAGGCACAGAUAGAUUUGAAGUUUGGUUUCCUCUGAGAAGCAUGUAUGUACAAACGCACACAAGGAAAGUGGGUGUUUCUUUCCCAGCACAUCAUGUCUUGUUUCGGCAACAUUACACCAGAGUUUGCAAGAUGCUUCCUAACAGGUGUUCCUGGACAAGAGGCCUUCCACACAUGGAUGUUAAUGCCCAUCUUCCUUCCAGGCACAGUGUACUCCUAUUGGUGGUGAUUCUGGAGCCACGCCUCCAUGUGCCCUUACACGAUUUCCUCCCCGUGGUGUCCAUCCAUUGGACUGGGGUUGUCUCCUUCCACAAUGCCUCAGUGUCCUCUGCUUCAAUGCCCUUAAAAUCACCCUUGUUGCAUGCAUCAUCCAGCUCUUCUUCCUCUGCAGCUCUUUACAGAAUCCUCAGUACUCAGAGUCUUGUCUUUGGGUGGAUUUGUUGCCCCUAAUAAUUCACCAUUCUAUCAGACUUUAUGAUUCAAAAGAUUGGUGGAGUGAUGGUCCUUAGAAUGUAGAUCAGCCUCUAUCGACCUCUCUUUCUCAUUAAGAGGCUUUCAACUUGCAAAGUCAGUGUCCCAUUCCAUUCGUAUUGCUUCCACUCUGAUGUGCUUCAGGGAGCAUGUUCUGACUCUUGGAUGAACAGUUAAGGAGGCAUAGCCGCUCUCAUUCUGAUCACAAGGUUCAUGUGCAUCUCUGUAUCUGCUCUGUACUCAACAGACUUCCUCGUGGGGAGUGAACAAAGCCUCUAGCACAGGUGUCCCACGCUGGGGCAAUUGUAGUCUUUUACAUUCCCUGACAUUCCUCUAAUUGCCCACAGGUUUUUCCACAAGCAUUCACCAUCUGUCUACCCACGGAUGUCCAGCUUCCAUUUCCCUGGUGCCCUGUGCCACCCCAUCAUAUAUGCUGACCAAAUCCGCAAGGCCAUCCUCAAGCUAUUCCAAACAGUAUUGAAAGGGGUUUGAUGGAGGCGGCUCUUCCUGAAUUUAAUGACCUCACUUUUAGAGGUGAACUUUCCUUUCCCCUCUUUAAAAGUUGAUUUCUCUGCUAGGAUCAGCUUGAUUUAGUUGUUUUUUCUGCUGCUUUUCUUCCCCACAUUGAGCCAUGUUUCUUCUCUACCAAUAAAAACAACAGCAAGAGCAAUGCUUACUGAACACUCACUAUGCUCAAGUUCUACAUUUAAAAAGCUCUUUUAAGUUCAUACCUUUAUUUAGCUUGACCCACAGCUCUUCAAAAUGGGUACUUAUAAUUCCAAUUUUGAAAUGAAAUAAUUAAAGGACUAGAACUUUAAAGGUCUUGCUUAAGAAAGAAGCAGAAUUUGGAUGUAGGUCCAUUGAUUCUAAUUCUGUGUUUUUCUUGGUUAUCAUGCUGCCUCUAAAAGCAGAAGACGCAGUCCAUGUCACAGUCUAAGGAGAGCUGGACAUCCAGUUCUACUCCUAGAACACUUCUCAGGCACACUGAAGACCAGUCAGUUCCUGAAGAAGAGGCACUAUGAUCCUAUCCUUUCUCAGUUGUCUUCACUCCCUCUGCUUUCUCAGAACAAUUGUGAUAACAGAUACUUAUUUCUGAGUAGAACAGACUAUACAGAGACAUGCUUCAGACAUGGAGCUUCCUCUGCAGGGUAUGGUCUUUGGUAUUUGGCAAAAUCUAAGGUUCAGUUGCUGGAGUUUUGACAUGUUACAAAGGGCGCAAUUUAAAUUUAAGUAGGGGGAGUGGUUUCUAGAAGGCAGAGGCUCAGCCACACAGAAUGUACCAGCAGUGGCAUUAUCUGUCCAAUUCAUUUGCCACAUUUUCUAUGAGUGCCCUGAUAGAUAAUUGGUAGAGAAGAGAAUAGUGUCUGUGUAUGUGCCCAAACGUGUAUCAGUCACCUCAUUCCCCUCAUCGUUACUGCUUUCGUCAUUUGGCAGAAUCGGCUACAGAGCCACCAUUCAGAACACAGUUGGACCAGUACCAUACUCUUUUUAUUACUAUAACUUUGUAGUAUAGUCUCAAAUCAGGGAGCCUGAUUCCUCCAGCUGUGAUUCUCUUUCUUAGGAUUCCUGUUUGGGGUCUUUUGUAUUUCCAUAUAAAAUAACAAAGCUUUUUGGUCUAGUUGUGUGAAAAAUGCCAUUGGUAAUUUGGUUGGCAUUAUAUUGAAUCUGUCAGUUGUCUUGGAUAGUAUACUUAUUCUGACAAUAUUGAUUCUUCCAAUCCAAGAGCAUGGUAUAUCUUUCCAUCUGUUUGUGUCAUCUUUGAUUUCUUUCAUCAUUGUCUUCCAGUUUUCAGAGUACAGGUCUUAUGUCUCUUUAGGUAGUUUUAUUCCUGGAUAUUUUACUAUUUUUGAUGAAAUGGUAAAUGGGAUUUUUUUCCCCUAAUUUUUCUUUCUGAUCUUUCAUUGUUACUUUAUAUGAAUGCAGUAUAUUUCUGUGUCUUAAUUUGUGUCCUUCCACUUUACCAAAUUCAUUGGUGAGCUGUUUUCUGGUGGCAUAUUUAGGGUUUUCUAUGUAUAGUAUCGUGUUAUCUGCAAACAGUGAUAGUUUUACUUCUUUUUUCCAAUUUGUUUUCUUUUUUUCCAUUUCUGCCAUGGCUAGGACUUUCAAAAUUAUGCUUAAUAGAAGUGGCAAGAGGACCUCCUUGUCUUGUCCCUGAUCUUAGUGGGAAUUCUUUCAGCUUUUCACCAUUGAGAACGAUGUUCGCUGUGAGUUUGUUACAUACGGUCUUUAUUAUGUUGAGGUAGGUUCCCUCUAGGCCCACUGUCUGGAGGGUUUUUAUCAGAAAUGAGUAUUGGAUUUUGUCAAAAGCUUUUCCUUCAUCUAUUGAGAUUAUCAUAUGAUUUUUAUUCUUCAGUUUGUUAAUGUGGUAUAUCACCCUGAUUGAUUUGUGGAUAUUGAAAAAACCUUGCAUGCCUGGGAUAAAUCCCACUUGAUCAUGGUGUAUGAUCCUCUUUAUGUAUUUCUGGAUUUGGUUUGAUAGUAUUUUGUUGAGUAUUUUGGAUCUAUGUGCAUCACUGAUAUGCAAAACGAUAGAAAGCCCAGAAAUAAACCCACACAACUAUGGUCAACUAAUGUAUGACAAAGGAGGCAAGAACACACAGUGGAAGAAAGAUAGUCUCCUGAAUAAGUUUUCCUGGGAAACUGGAAAGCUACAUGCAAAAGAAUAAAAUUAGAACACUCUAACACUAUAC